Molecule: ribosomal RNA, 395 nt
Filed under: uncultured bacterium
Lineage: Bacteria
Description: bacterial SSU rRNA
Rfam family: Bacterial small subunit ribosomal RNA
Source: RNAcentral
GAGCGCCCCGCAAGGGGAGCGGCAGACGGGAGAGUAACACGUGGGAACGUACCCUUCAGUUCGGAACAACCCAGGGAAACUUGGGCUAAUACCGGAUACGUCCGUAAGGAGAAAGAUUUAUCGCUGAAGGAUCGGCCCGCGUCUGAUUAGCUUGUUGGUGAGGUAACGGCUCACCAAGGCGACGAUCAGUAGCUGGUCUGAGAGGAUGAUCAGCCUCACUGGGACUGAGACACGGCCCAGACUCCUACGGGAGGCAGCAGUGGGGAAUAUUGGACAAUGGGCGCAAGCCUGAUCCAGCCAUGCCGCGUGGGUGAUGAAGGCCUUAGGGUUGUAAAGCCCUUUCGGCGGGGAAGAUAAUGACGGUACCCGCAGAAGAAGCCCCGGCUAACUUCGUG